This 1371-nucleotide ribosomal RNA is filed under the name uncultured bacterium. Its description in RNAcentral is "bacterial SSU rRNA". It matches the Rfam family "Bacterial small subunit ribosomal RNA". The record is from RNAcentral.
AGAGUUUGAUCCUGGCUCAGGACGAACGCUGGCGGCGCGCCUAACACAUGCAAGUCGAACGAGCGAGAGAGAGCUUGCUUUCUCGAGCGAGUGGCGAACGGGUGAGUAACGCGUGAGGAACGUGCCUCAAAGAGGGGGACAACAGUUGGAAACGACUGCUAAUACCGCAUAAGCCCACAGCUCGGCAUCGAGCAGAGGGAAAAGGAGCAAUCCGCUUUGAGAUGGCCUCGCGUCCGAUUAGCUAGUUGGUGAGGUAAUGGCCCACCAAGGCGACGAUCGGUAGCCGGACUGAGAGGUUGAACGGCCACAUUGGGACUGAGACACGGCCCAGACUCCUACGGGAGGCAGCAGUGGGGAAUAUUGCACAAUGGGGGAAACCCUGAUGCAGCGACGCCGCGUGGAGGAAGAAGGUCUUCGGAUUGUAAACUCCUGUUGUUGAGGAAGAUAAUGACGGUACUCAACAAGGAAGUGACGGCUAACUACGUGCCAGCAGCCGCGGUAAAACGUAGGUCACAAGCGUUGUCCGGAAUUACCGGGUGUAAAGGGAGCGCAGGCGGGAAGACAAGUUGGAAGUGAAAUCUAUGGGCUCAACCCAUAAACUGCUUUCAAAACUGUUUUUCUUGAGUAGUGCAGAGGUAGGCGGAAUUCCCGGUGUAGCGGUGGAAUGCGUAGAUAUCGGGAGGAACACCAGUGGCGAAGGCGGCCUACUGGGCACCAACUGACGCUGAGGCUCGAAAGUGUGGGUAGCAAACAGGAUUAGAUACCCUGGUAGUCCACACCGUAAACGAUGAUUACUAGGUGUUGGAGGAUUGACCCCUUCAGUGCCGCAGUUAACACAAUAAGUAAUCCACCUGGGGAGUACGACCGCAAGGUUGAAACUCAAAGGAAUUGACGGGGGCCCGCACAAGCAGUGGAGUAUGUGGUUUAAUUCGACGCAACGCGAAGAACCUUACCAAGUCUUGACAUCCUGCGACGCACAUAGAAAUAUGUGUUUCCUUCGGGACGCAGAGACAGGUGGUGCAUGGUUGUCGUCAGCUCGUGUCGUGAGAUGUUGGGUUAAGUCCCGCAACGAGCGCAACCCUUACUGUCAGUUACUACGCAAGAGGACUCUGGCAGGACUGCCGUUGACAAAACGGAGGAAGGUGGGGAUGACGUCAAAUCAUCAUGCCCUUUAUGACUUGGGCUACACACGUACUACAAUGGCGUUAAACAAAGAGAAGCAAGACCGCGAGGUGGAGCAAAACUCAGAAACAACGUCCCACUUCGGACUGCAGGCUGCAAAUCGCCUGCAGGAAGUCGGAAUUGCUAGUAAUCGUGGAUCAGCAUGCCACGGUGAAUACGUUCCCGGGCGAGUAGCACACACCGCCCGUC